This 398-nucleotide transfer RNA is filed under the name uncultured Microcystis sp. RNAcentral describes it as "partial contains 16S-23S ribosomal RNA intergenic spacer, and 23S ribosomal RNA". The stretch from base 135 to 208 matches the Rfam family "tRNA". The record is from RNAcentral. Lineage: Bacteria; Bacillati; Cyanobacteriota; Cyanophyceae; Chroococcales; Microcystaceae.
AAGGGAGACCUAAUUCAGGUAAAAGACGAAAAAAAAGUAGUCGCUACCAAGAAUCAAUCCCAAAAGGUCGGAGCGAGGCGAAAUUGGCUUUCAAACUAGGUUCUGGGUUCAAACAAGACCUGAAUCAGGAACAAGGGCUAUUAGCUCAGGUGGUUAGAGCGCACCCCUGAUAAGGGUGAGGUCCCUGGUUCGAGUCCAGGAUGGCCCACCUGCACAGGUGGCAAAAACAAGAGAAGCGAGGAAUCAGCACCUUAUCCUACUUAUAUAGUAAGAGAGAAUGCUGGCUCUGAGUAAAGAGUCCAGAGGAACCUUGAAAACUGCAUAGAGCUAGGUGAAAAAGCCAAAAAAGAAGACCGCAAGGUCAAGCUAAUAAGGGCUAACGGUGGAUACCUAGGCAC